CCAGUAGACCUUACCCGGGAGGCAACAGCAAAGCUUGGGAGUGGGACCCGGUGAAGGUCACCUCUGGGCCCGAAUGUGAUGCUCUAGCUACAGGACGGUGAUGGCACCGUGGACGAGGACCCCAACGAAGACCGUCUCUGCGCGUCCUGCGUCAACAUUUGUGCCUCCGACUCCGGGGGCAACCUUUCCCGCGGCAGGAAAACCGAAAUCCGCGGCAAUCUAUGCGAAGUAGAAACGCACAGAGAUGGCCAUUUCCCGUCUGCUGGCCAGGGGAGUUGACCCUGCAGCCUUCCCACUGCAUGCACUGGAGAUGACCCAAGCUCAGCUCUCUCCCACUGCUGGGGCAUCAGGAGGGAACCCUGCAGCCCUCCCUCCUUUCAUCUGCCUGGGGCCCUUUGACCCGCCCAGG
This is a long non-coding RNA of Neofelis nebulosa (Clouded leopard), 409 nucleotides long. RefSeq lists it as uncharacterized. Lineage: Eukaryota; Metazoa; Chordata; Mammalia; Carnivora; Felidae. The record is from RefSeq and is a predicted model, not a curated record. The transcript has 3 exons.